This 253-nucleotide ribosomal RNA is filed under the name uncultured bacterium. Its description in RNAcentral is "partial 16S ribosomal RNA". It matches the Rfam family "Bacterial small subunit ribosomal RNA", at positions 524 to 776 of the family's 1533-position model. The record is from RNAcentral.
UACAGAGGGGGCAAGCGUUGUUCGGAAUUACUGGGCGUAAAGGGCGCGUAGGCGGCCUGCUAAGUCGAACGUGAAAUCCCUAGGCUCAACCUAGGAACUGCGUCCGAUACUGGCAGGCUUGAAUCCGGGAGAGGGAUGCGGAAUUCCAGGUGUAGCGGUGAAAUGCGUAGAUAUCUGGAGGAACACCGGUGGCGAAGGCGGCAUCCUGGACCGGCAUUGACGCUGAGGCGCGAAAGCCAGGGGAGCAAACGGG